GACGAACCGUGCGAACGUUGUUCGGAAUCACUGGGCUUAAAGGGCGCGUAGGCGGGCUGCCAAGUCAGGGGUGAAAGCCCACGGCUCAACCGUGGAAGUGCCUUUGAUACUGGCGGCCUUGAGGGAGGUAGGGGCGUGCGGAACUUCCGGUGGAGCGGUGAAAUGCGUAGAUAUCGGAAGGAACACCGGUGGCGAAGGCGGCUUCCUGGCCUGUUCUUGACGCUGAGGCGCGAAAGCUAGGGGAGCAAACGGG
RNAcentral lists this ribosomal RNA (253 nucleotides) under uncultured bacterium. Its description in RNAcentral is "partial 16S ribosomal RNA". It matches the Rfam family "Bacterial small subunit ribosomal RNA", at positions 524 to 776 of the family's 1533-position model. The record is from RNAcentral.